Symphalangus syndactylus (siamang) is the source of this 260-nucleotide long non-coding RNA. RefSeq lists it as uncharacterized. The record is from RefSeq and is a predicted model, not a curated record. NCBI's taxonomy places the organism in Eukaryota, Metazoa, Chordata, Mammalia, Primates, Hylobatidae.
CAGAUCUCCGUCAAGUGCAUUAACCAGUUCGAGUUGGAAGUGCCUCUUCUGGAUGCAGAAAACAAAGUCAUGGCCAAUGGAGCCAGGACCCAGGGCCAGCUGAAGGUGCUGAGUGCCAGCCUCUGGUCACCAUACUUGAUGCACGAAUGCUCCACCUAUCUGUACUCGUUGGAGGUGAAGAUGUAGGUUUUGAUGAGAUGCAGCCAACAGCCAAAUCUGAUGGAAAAGGAAAGGCAUUCGUCUUGGUUAGAAGAGGGCAG